Long non-coding RNA from Dromaius novaehollandiae (emu), 1705 nucleotides. NCBI's taxonomy places the organism in Eukaryota, Metazoa, Chordata, Aves, Casuariiformes, Dromaiidae. The record is from Ensembl.
ACAUCGUCCUGGUCUGGUUUACCUCYUUCACGUCUCCUGAGCACUGCCUCAUUCCCACACGUUUUUUUGGUCCGUCUGAAACGGAGUGCAGAGAAAGGCCAGCAACGCAGGCUGCCUGCGCCGAGAAUUAAUCCCCCACCUCCUCCGAAGACAGAAAUUGAGUCUGUACCUGGCCGUGGCUGAUGAAGCGUUUGUAGCAGAGGGAAAGAGGGAGAUGCUAGGGAACACCAGAGACUGCAGACCCACAUUUGUCAUUGCUUUAAGUUAAUUAACGACACCCCAGUUGGACUGGCGCGCGUGGGACUGCAGAAGGUAAAUGGCUUCAGGAACCAGGUUUCUGAAGGGAAUCCGGCACUUGCUGAAAAGAGCUAAAUGGUGUGUAAGAAUAUGACCGUUUCUCCUGAACCCUGUGAAAGGCACCUGAGUCAGUCCUGCGCGGGGGUGUCUGCAGGGACAUCUGCUCCGGGUCUCAGCUGCGGCUGCCGGUGGGGGAAGGAAGCUGCCGGAGCAUGCGGCUCCCGCGGGGACCGUGGGGCUUUGGUGGCUGUGUCCCGUCCUCUGGAGGCGGUGGGAGAUCAGAGCAGAUGUCCCAGACCUUGAUCCACAUUCAGCAGGGACUCAAGGCCAAGGCUCAAGAAGGCGACGAGUUUUCAGCACACUGUGAUGUUUAAGAGGCAGGUUGCUGUGCUUCAUCCUGGCUCAAGCGCCACGAGCAUCUCCCAAGGGAAGGUACGGGACUGACCGUGGAGCCUUUCCCAGGAGACGCACCGGAGCCAGGCGAUGGAGGCUUCAAAGGCUGGGCUGAACUUAGCUUUGCGUGGAAGCACCUACCACCCAGGCACAGCGCUGCGCGCCGAGCUUCUGGCACGGAUGCGCCCAGGCUGAGAGCAUGGCAGCAGCCUCUGUGCCUGUUGAUGGCUGAAGAAACCCGGUAAUGACCCAGACUAACCAUCACUUCCAGCUGGUCGAGUCCUGCGGAUGCCAGAUACGCUGUCUCGCCAAAGCAGGAGCUCCCCGCAGCUGUGCACGCUCCGCAGGCCCUGUCCCUGCUGCAAGCCCUCACACRUAUCCGACACGGACAGAGGAAUAGGAGGGUCAACACGGAGUUUCAGUGUGUCAGGUCUGUGUUGUAAGAACCGUGGCAUUUGCAUGCUGGCCUGCAACUCCGCUUUAUUAUGUCUCAUAAAACMCUAUUCCAUGAACAGUGUCCUGUGGAAGCAAAGACACAAAUAACAGUCAUUGCGAUAUGACCACAUGUUGUCCAAAGCCCGUAGCGGGAUGCCGUGUGGCGGCMCUCAGCCGCUGAGUGGCUGUGGCUGGACCGGUAAAGCACUGGCAUGAGAGGGCUGCAGGCCCAUCCUCAUCCUCCUGAGCACGCGAGGCAGGGCCAGGCAGCCUGGGUGCCAGCCCCCUGCCACCACCUCUGCAGGGACGUCAUGGGCCCGUGCCAGACGUCUCUGGAGWCUCCCUAAGGCAGGGUGGGGACGUGUUUCUGGGCAGGAUGCUGCACACUCARCUUAAGGACUCGGAUCAAUUCCUCCUUGAAAGCCUCUCUCCAUCUUCUUCUCCAUAACUUACGUUCCCUUAUAGAAGAAACUCGYGGAAAGCUGCGGGUUCAGCUCUCCGUGUGUUAACGGCUACCUUGCUAAGCUCCUUAYAGCAAGGGUAGGAUGCAGGUCAGCGUUGCCGCCUCUUGAGCGCAAAG